UCUGGAGAAGGAACUCGGCAAAUUGACACCGUAACUUCGGAAGAAGGUGUGCCUUUAGUAGGUGAACCAUUACUUGGGGAGCCCAAUGAGGCCGCAGAGAAUCGGUGGCUGCAACUGUUUAUUAAAAACACAGCACUCUGCAAAGACGAAAGUCGACGUAUAGGGUGUGACUCCUGCCCGGUGCUGGAAGAUUAAAUGAUGGGGUGCAAGCUCUUGACUGAAGUCCCAGUAAACGGCGGCCGUAACUAUAACGGUCCUAAGGUAGCGAAAUUCCUUGUCGGGUAAGUUCCGACCUGCACGAAUGGAGUAAUGAUGGCCACACUGUCUCCUCCAGAGACUCAGCGAAGUUGAAAUGUUUGUGAUGAUGCAAUCUCCCCGCGGAAAGACGGAAAGACCCCAUGAACCUUUACUGUAGCUUUACAUUGGACUUUGAACAGAUCUGUGUAGGAUGGGUGGGAGGCUUUGAAGAGUGGACGCUAGUUUGCUUGGAGCCAACGUUGAAAUACCACCCUGGUGUGUUUGAGGUUCUAACCUUGGUCCCUUAUCGGGAUUGGGGACAGUGUAUGGUGGGCAGUUUGACUGGGGCGGUCUCCUCCCAAAGUGUAACGGAGGAGUUCGAAGGUACGCUAAAUACGGUCGGAAAUCGUGUUGAUAGUGCAUUGGCAUAAGCGUGCUUGACUGCGAGACUGACAAGUCGAGCAGGUACGAAAGUAGGACAAAGUGAUCCGGUGGUCUGUAUGGAAGGGCCAUCGCUCAACGGAUAAAAGGUACUCUGGGGAUAACAGGCUGAUACCGCCCAAGAGUUCAUAUCGACGGCGGUGUUUGGCACCUCGAUGUCGGCUCAUCUCAUCCUGGGGCUGUAGCCGGUCCCAAGGGUAUGGCUGUUCGCCAUUUAAAGAGGUACGUGAGCUGGGUUUAAAACGUCGUGAGACAGUUUGGUCCCUAUCUUCCGUGGGCGCUGCAAGAUUGAGAGAGCCUGCUCCUAGUACGAGAGGACCGGAGUGGACGCACCUCUGGUGUAUCGGUUGUCACGCCAGUGGCAUCGCCGAGUAGCUAAGUGCGGAAGAGAUAACCGCUGAAAGCAUCUAAGCGGGAAACUCGUCUCAAGAUGAGUCUUGCCGGGGCCUAGAGCCCCCUGAAGGGUCGUUCGAGACCAGGACGUUGAUAGGCUGGGUGUGGAAGCGCGGUAACGCGUUAAGCUAACCAGUACUAAUUGCCCGUGAGGCUUGACCCU
This 1234-nucleotide ribosomal RNA is filed under the name metagenome. Its description in RNAcentral is "bacterial LSU rRNA". It matches the Rfam family "Bacterial large subunit ribosomal RNA", at positions 1700 to 2925 of the family's 2925-position model. The record is from RNAcentral.